RNAcentral lists this long non-coding RNA (1278 nucleotides) under Pan troglodytes (chimpanzee). RNAcentral's name for it is "long non-coding RNA NONPTRT013600". The record is from RNAcentral. Lineage: Eukaryota; Metazoa; Chordata; Mammalia; Primates; Hominidae.
GAAAAAACGGGAGAUCAGUGAGCUAGCAGCAGAGAAGCCUUCCUGGAAAAGGAUAGCUUGGUGCCAGCCCCAGUAAUUUAGUCGAGUUUCCUGUUAUGAGCAGUUUGGAUCCCAGGAAAGGACUCCAGUGGCGAAUGUUGGGAAACAUUAAUGAUGGUGAUUGCCAUUUUGAUAACACAGUAGAUUUUACAAAGGGACCUCUUUUGUUUGAAAAUGUAUUUUUUUAUUUUAAUUAAGAGACGCAAAAAAAGCCCAAACAGUCUUAACCUUAAGGACAGAUUGUGUUCUCAAAAUUAAUGGGAAGUCAUUAUUUGGAGCAUACUUAAAAUGGUGAGUGGUUUCCCAGCACUACUUUAAGCCAUAACAUAGCUGAACUACAGCAGUAAUAUUCUGCUUCAUAAUUUUCCAUUAUUUCUUUGGAAAAAAAAAAGGAGGGCUCCCAAAAUAUAUGUGGUGUUCAUAUGCUCUCAGAGUAUAGAAGAGAGCUAAUUUUCUGUCUUUGUCUGCUAUUCCCCAGCCCCCAGAAGACUGGAAACUGGUUAUUCCUUCUCUUAUUACGGAGAGGAUACCUUCCUUUUGUCAGCCCCCAGUGAGAAGACAGGAGUUGAGACGAUGACUCCUGUGCUUGCUCAAUUGGAGAUUGUGCAUUGCAGACAUUGGAACAGGGAGAAUAAAGGGAUCAUUCAAUGAUGUGUGAUGUGACUGUGUAUUGUCUGAAAGCACCUUGAGUUAGGAUAGGGAAAGAGUAGAGGUGAGAGAGGGUAAUCUUCCCAUGGGGGAGAGAGGAAGAAGGAAGAGUGAUAGCGUGCAAGUCACUGAGUCUUGAGAAGGGGAGUACACGGUAGAGGAAAUAGUGCGUGACCCUGCCUGCGGCAACACCUGUAGAAGACAGUCUCAGGCUCAGGUGGGAGUGAGAUAAAUCCCUCUACGUUUCCAAAUUUGGUCUUCAGGUCCGGGAUUCCUAGAAAACAGCUUGACCUUGGCCAGGUGUGGUGGCUCACGCCUGUAAUCCCAGCACUUUGGGAGGCCGAGGCGGGCAGAUCACGAGGUCAGGAGAUCGAGACCAUCCUGGCUAUCACGGUGAAACCCCGCUUCUACUAAAAAUCCAAAAAAUUAGCUGGGCAUCGUGGUGGGUGCCUGUAGUCCCAGCCACUCGGGAGGCUGAGGCAGGAGAAUGGUGUGAAUCCGGGAGGCAGAGCUUGCAGUGAGCCAAGAUCACGCCACUGCGCUCUAGCCUGGGCCACAGAGCAAGACUCCGUCUCAAAAAAAAAAAGAAAA